GUACAGUUGUCACAAGGGUCAGAUGUCUUUCAUUGGAACCUACAUGGGAAUGGGCGAUUCUCAGUGGAGUCUAUGUGUAAAGCUUUGAUCUAGUCUGACAUGUCAGUUGAUAAUAAGAAGAAGAUCUGGAAGAUGAAGAUACCUCUUAAGAAUAAAAUCUUUGCAUGGUACCUUCGUCGCGGAGUCAUUCUCACUAAAGAUAACCUUAUUAAGAGGAAUUAGCAUGGAAGUACGCAAUAUGUAUUUUGCCCGCGUGAUGAGACAAUAAAACAUUUGUUCUUGCAAUGGUCAGUCAUCCAACUAGCUUUUGGCUUGUAUCCUCUUUGUAGUGUUGCUAAUAUAUUUGUUUAUGAUUUGGUCGCAUUGGCUAUGUAG
RNAcentral lists this ribosomal RNA (375 nucleotides) under Triticum aestivum (bread wheat). RNAcentral describes it as "partial small subunit ribosomal RNA". Lineage: Eukaryota; Viridiplantae; Streptophyta; Magnoliopsida; Poales; Poaceae. The record is from RNAcentral.